RNAcentral lists this ribosomal RNA (2778 nucleotides) under human oral metagenome. RNAcentral's name for it is "bacterial LSU rRNA". It matches the Rfam family "Bacterial large subunit ribosomal RNA". The record is from RNAcentral.
UCAAGUGAAGAAGGGCAUACGGCGGAUGCCUAGGCGUUUCGAAACGAAGAAGGACGCGAUAAGCUGCGAUAAGCCAUGACGAGCUGCAAGUAAGCCUUGACUCAUGGAUUUCCGAAUGGGGCAACCCGGCAAGAGUAACGUCUUGUCACCCUGUACGAGAUACAGGGAGAAAACACCCGAUGAACUGAAACAUCUAAGUAGUCGGAGGAAAAGAAAUCAAAGAGAUUCCCUGAGUAGCGGCGAGCGAAACGGGAGGAGCCCAAACCUGAGGACUUCGGUUCUUAGGGGUUGCGGACCUGCAACAAGACAUAAGCUUUAGUGGAAGCAUCUGGGAAGGUGCGGCGAAGAGAGUGAGACCCUCGUACACGAAAGAGUGAGUGUUGGGCAGGGAUCCAGAGUACCACAGGGCACGAGGAACCCGGUGGGAAGCAGGGUGGACCACCAUCCAAGGCUAAAUACAUCGAAACGACCGAUAGCGAUGAGUACCGUGAGGGAAAGGUGAAAAGAACCCCGGGAGGGGAGUGCAAUAGAACCUGAAACCGUAUGUCUACAAACAGUCGGAGCACUUUAGAUGUGCGACGGCGUGCCUAUUGAAGAAUGAACCGGCGAGUUAAUUUAUGCUGCGAGGUUAAGCGGGAGACGCGGAGCCGAAGCGAAAGCGAGUCUUAAGAGGGCGGCAGUAGCAUGGAUUAGACCCGAAACCACAGUGAUCUAUGCAUGUCCAGGUUGAAGCUCAGGUAAAAAUGAGUGGAGGACCGAACCCGUGCGUGUUGAAAAACGUUGGGAUGAGGUGUGCAUAGGGGUGAAAUGCCAAUCGAACGUGGAGAUAGCUGGUUCUCCCCGAAAUAGCUUUAGGGCUAGCCUCAGGCGAAUAACCAUAGAGACGGUAGAGCACUGAUCGGGCAAGGGGGCGUAAAGCCUACCGACCCCAGUCAAACUACGAAUGGCUCAUAUGGGCAGCCUGGGAGUCAGAAUGCGAGUGAUAAGACCCGUAUUCAAGAGGGAAACAGCCCAGACCGCCGGCUAAGGUCCCAAAUGCUGUGCUAAGUGGAGAAGGAUGUAGGACUUCGAAAACAACCAGGAUGUUGGCUCAGAAGCAGCCACCAUUAAAAGAGUGCGUAAUAGCUCACUGGUCGAGAGGCCCUGCGCCGAAAAUAUCCGGGGCUCAAGCACAGAACCGAAGCCGCGGCAGGGUGUACUAAGGUACACACUGGGUAGGGGAGCGUUCUUAUCUGGACGAAGGCAGACCGGAAGGACUGCUGGACGGGUAAGAAGUGAGAAUGCCGGUAUGAGUAGCGAAACGACAGGUGAGAAUCCUGUCCACCGAAAGCCUAAGGAAUCCCGGGCAACGCUCGUCGUCCCGGGGUAAGUCGGGACCUAAGCCGAGGCGAAAAGCAUAGGCGAUGGACAACUGGCGAAAAUUCCAGUACCGGGCGACUUCGUUUGAGGAUGGAGUGACGCAGGAAGGAAGCUGAGCGCGCGACUGGUAGAGCGCGUCGAAGGCGGUAGGCUGGUAUGGAGGCAAAUCCCCAUACCGUAACGGCCGAGAACCGAUAGAUAGGAAGGGCUACGGCCCGACUGAAUUCAGCCGCACUAAACUGCCAAGAAAAGCUUCUAACGAGAAGUCGUCCGCCCGUACCAAAACCGACACAGGUAGGCGGGGAGAGAAUCCUAAGGUGCGCGGGAAAACCCUCGUUAAGGAACUCGGCAAAAUGCAUCCGUAACUUCGGGAAGGUUAAGGAGAGUUGUUAUCCCUAGAGGAGAAGCAGCGAACUGAAGCCCCUGUAAACGGCGGCCGUAACUAUAACGGUCCUAAGGUAGCGAAAUUCCUUGUCGGGUAAGUUCCGACCCGCACGAAAGGCGUAACGAUUUGGGCACUGUCUCAACGAUGGACUCGGUGAAAUCAUAGUACCUGUGAAGAUGCAGGUUACCCGCGACAGGACGGAAAGACCCCAUGGAGCUUUACUGUAGCUUGAUAUUGAAUUUUGAUGCAGUAUGUACAGGAUAGGUAGGAGCCAGAGAAUCAUGCACGCCAGUGUAUGAGGAGGCGUUGUUGGGAUACUACCCUUGCUGUAUUGAAAUUCUAACCCUCGGCGUAGAAGACCGGGAGACAGUGUCAGGUGGGCAGUUUGACUGGGGCGGUCGCCUCCCAAAGAGUAACGGAGGCGUUCAAAGGUUCCCUCAGAAUGGUUGGAAAUCAUUUGCAGAGUGUAAAGGCACAAGGGAGCUUGACUGUGAGACCUACAAGUCGAGCAGGUGCGAAAGCAGGACUUAGUGAUCCGGUGGUUCCGCAUGGAAGGGCCAUCGCUCAACGGAUAAAAGCUACCCUGGGGAUAACAGGCUUAUCUCCCCCAAGAGUCCACAUCGACGGGGAGGUUUGGCACCUCGAUGUCGGCUCAUCGCAUCCUGGGGCUGUAGUCGGUCCCAAGGGUUGGGCUGUUCGCCCAUUAAAGCGGUACGCGAGCUGGGUUCAGAACGUCGUGAGACAGUUCGGUCCCUAUCCGUCGUGGGCGUAGGAAAUUUGAGAGGAGCUGUCCUUAGUACGAGAGGACCGGGAUGGACGUAUCAAUGGUGUACCAGUUGUCACGCCAGUGGCAUAGCUGGGUAGCUAAAUACGGAAGGGAUAAGAGCUGAAAGCAUCUAAGCAUGAAGCCCCCCUCGAGAUGAGAUUUCCCACGGAUAUUAAGACCCCUUGAAGACGACAAGGAGAAUAGGUUAGGAGUGUAAGAAGACGACAAGGAGAAUAGGUUAGGAGUGUAAGCACGGUAACGUGUUCAG